UACGUAGGGUGCAAGCGUUAAUCGGAAUUACUGGGCGUAAAGCGUGCGCAGGCGGUUGUGCAAGACAGAUGUGAAAUCCCCGGGCUCAACCUGGGAAUUGCAUUUGUGACUGCACGGCUAGAGUGUGUCAGAGGGGGUAGAAUUCCGCGUGUAGCAGUGAAAUGCGUAGAUAUGCGGAGGAACACCCGUGGCGAAGGCGGCCCCCUGGGUCGGCCCUGACGCUGAGGCGCGAAGGCUAGGGGAGCGAACGGG
This 252-nucleotide ribosomal RNA is filed under the name uncultured bacterium. RNAcentral describes it as "partial 16S ribosomal RNA". It matches the Rfam family "Bacterial small subunit ribosomal RNA", at positions 524 to 776 of the family's 1533-position model. The record is from RNAcentral.